AGUCCCGUGUCACUGUUUGGGGUGUAGCUGUAAAAGUCUUAAUGCAGUGUGACACCUCAGUCAUUUGCAUUUUCCAAAAGCUUCCCAGCAGUUCUUUCCUAAGCAUAUCAGAAAGAGAGGUUUCAUUCUCAGUGUUGUAGAAAGCAAGGCCAUAUGUGAGUUUGAUAAUUUCACUGUUGCAAAUGCUAUAACCAGUGCAAGUGGCUGACUGGCUAUAAGUCAGAACUUGCUACUGUUGUUUAUAGGAACACGCUGUCUUGACAUGCCUGUAUUCAGCAGGUCUUCUGAUCUGUUUUUCUGAUAUGUAAGUAUUUGGUAACUACAUCAAGGAAUCACACACAUCCUGGGGAGGAAUUUCACUCAGUAGAAUCCCAUUUGCAGUAGUAGUGUAAAUUUUAGCAAAUAAUUUAAAAAGAGAGUUGGUGUAUAUAUUCAGGUAAUGCUUUUUUUUCGUCAUCCCUGUCUGCAGGCAGUGUGAUGCUCAUUUGUGGCAUCCUUCUCUAGAAAGCACUUGAAGCUUCUAUCUUCUAAACACAAGGAACUGAAGGACUUUGAAUUGUGGCCAAACUUGUGCAGCCUUAGAGACAAGCUUUUAUUCACGAGUUACCUUGCCAACCACAAGUAGCACCUUCUCAGAUGAAGUGUGUCAUACCUUCAUGCCACUUUACAGAAGGGGCUCCAGAAUCUCUAUUCAAUCUUCCUGCCAAUGACAACAAACAAACAAAGAAAAGCCCUUGAUGGUAAUACUUAUUGUCUCCUUUACUGAUAUCCAGUAAAGGGACUAGGUAGAAGGAAUAUUAUUUGUCAGCAUGAUGUCAGUUUAGCAGGCCUUGCAAAAAUGUUCUGUCCUUUCUUUAGAAAUACAGGAAAAGCCCUGCUGAAACUACAGAAUAAAUUCUUUCCCUUUUCAGAAAGCAUCUUCUGCUCCGUAUCACGUAGUCCGCAGGACUCCCAGCAUUACCUUACUUCAAAAUUUGGUCAUUUUUGUGAAUAUCAAAGAUGAUGGAGCUGAUGGUAAAUUCAUACUUUAAAGUGGCUGCUCCUGUUGUUUAACUGAGUUGCAAGUGCAAUGUGUUUGAAUUGCAGAAAUAGGAGAGCUAAGUGUGGUUUCUUAAUAGGCUACAGUUUAUGAAAGAUCCUGAACUCCUUGUCAAUUGCUUCCCUUGGUCUUUGAGAAUUAGAAUUUGCUGAAAUUUCUGGUAGUGCACCCAAGCAUUUGACGAGAGGAUAUCUGCUGUGGGGAUGUCUGGUGUUCAGUCUUGGAGCACGGGCAGCCAGCUGCUUAUGGCUAAUUAAGUGAGAGAAUUUCUCACACAGAGUUGAUUUAAUUUCUGUUAGAAUGCCCAGAGCACCAAAUGCAUGUCUGGUCACUGCAAAAACAUCCUUAAUACACAUUGAAAGAAUUAAUGCAAUUAAUUCACCACCACCAGAGGAAAAACCUUGGGAUUUGUUUGUGCAAAUUGAAAACUGAAAAUGAAUUUGCAAAACUAACUGUAUGAUAUUCUCACUUUUUACAUCAUGUGAGUUCUGUUUGUCAUGUAAAGCUCUGUCCUGAGAAGCAAGAAGCACGUACUAUGUUAACUAGGAGAGAUGAUGGGUCUCCUAAUUCCCUGUUGGAGACUGGAGAGUCCAUGACCUGUUUGUCCCAGGCAGUAAUGAAGACCUUUUCCCCAGGGGUUCAGAUAUCUCUUGGCCAUUUUAUUUUGCUUAAGCAUUUUUAUUUGUUAUAAUGAGAACUUGGGAAAAGAACAGUUCAAAAUGUAAAAAUAGCAAAAUGUGCGGAGGCUGCCGUUCAUUUUGUAAGUCAAAGCUUGUGACUAAAGUAUGCUGCUUAGCAACAAAUGGGGGAAAUCUGAAGGUGAUCACAUCAUUUUGCUCUCCCUGAAAAGUAAUUAUUCAUGUUCCUCCUACCUUUUAAGCACCAUCCUUUUCAUGUCCCUUUUCUGCUUGGGAUGAGCGCUAUGUGGCUGGUUGAGUUGUGCAACCUAGUUUUAUCAUCAGCAAUACUUGUGCUGCUGCAGCUGUGAUUCAGCUGGAGAGCUCCAGCUCAGAUUUCAGCUCUCUCUCUCCCAUAAUGCUGCACAUAAUGUGUACUUGUCCUUAUGGACCAAGACAUAAAUGUAUGUGGAACUGUUGGGGGGAGUCCAGAAGAGGGUCAUGAAGAUGAUCAGAGGGCUGGAGCACCUCUCCUAUGCAGAUAGGCUGAAAGAACUGGGCUUAAAGGAGGGGAAUCAACUUUUUUUACAUGGGUAGAUAGUGGUAGACAAGGGGGAAUACUUUAAACUUAAGGAGGAAAGAUUUAGAUUGAAUGUUGGGGGAAUUUUUUUACUGAGAGUGGUCAGGUGCUGGAACAGGCUGCCCAGAGAGGUUGUGGAUGCUCCGUCCCUGGAGGUGUUCAAGGCCAGGUUAGGUGGGGCCCUGGGCAGCCUGGUCUGGUGCUUGAUCUAGUGGCUGGCAGCCUGCCUGUGGCAGGGGGAUUGUAACCUGAUGAUCCUUGGGGUCCUUUCCAACCCAAGCCAUUCUGUGAUUCUGUAUGUGGCCAUUCAUUAAGCUCGUACAUCAGUCUCAAUGAGCGCUGUUCACCAACUCUUGCCUUAACUCUCCUUCUGUGACUUCUUACACCCUGAUUUCUGAGUUUGACUUUUCACGUCUUUUUGUAUGACUUCAAAGAGCACAAGGUUGCUUUUCUUUCUAGGCUUGAUUUUUCUUUAGGAAAUUACUUGUACUCCAGGUUGAAAACAACAUUUUUCAUAAAUAUUACUUAUUAACUAUUCUUGGUUUGGGGCAGUUAGUAAGCUGUAAAGUUUCUGUUCAUUUCCUUUGAAAAAAAUGUGAUGAUUGUCUUCCCUAACUGACUGAGAGUACUCCCCACCAGUCUGGUUAGAAUCCUCACAUUCUGGGUUUGGAUUAAAGCUUUUAACAAUUUUUAUCCUCAGUAAACAAACACCCCAGAAAUCCACCUAUGUGCAGAAUGUGUUCAACAGUUCUUGAAAUAGUGUUCUGUUUCUGAGCUUGCAUUUGGAUAAAAGGCUGUGCAUCUUCAGACUAUGAAACCAUUUCAGAAAACAAAACAAUCAAACAAAAACAAAAAACAAACAAACAAACAAAUACAAAAUCCCACCCAAAACACUAGGGAGGGGAGGUAGCUCUCAGUUUUAGAAACAAUUCUCGUUGACUGCUCUGGCAAUGAUCUUCAGAAUUACCUCAUUAUUUAUUCUUAGUGCACCAAUUAAACAAACGGUUUUAUAUAUAGAAACAGGAUGGACUUAGCUUUUUCAGGGUCCUUUUCAGAGACAGACAUCAAAGAUGUACAGGAUCUAUUUGCUUACACGUGAUGUUUAAGCCACCUGAAAUAUGGCAGGAAUCCCUAAGAAGCCAAUGGGGCUGAGAAAGAAAAAAUAAUCCCAGUUUUUUGUUUGUAACACAUUGUGGAAAAGAUUAAGAUUGCAAUUAUUUGUUCAAAUGUUCAUGUGAAGGAAAUAUUAGUGAAAAAAAAAAUCCUGAUUAUGAUCCGUCAGCGAGUGAUGUGCAAUAUAAUGCUUUUGGUUAUAUGAAGUAUGAUCAAGGCAGCAGUUGAAAUAUCUUUGCCGUCUGAAAAGACUUUUUUUAUAGAUUAGCACUUGACACACUGAGGUGUGCAGUAGAACAGUCCUCAGAAGUUUCUAGCUGUUUUUUUUAAUUUGGACAGGCAGGACUCUUGGAGGAUGUCUAGAUUUCUGUUGUUGUGGUAG
Long non-coding RNA from Gallus gallus (chicken), 3731 nucleotides. NCBI's taxonomy places the organism in Eukaryota, Metazoa, Chordata, Aves, Galliformes, Phasianidae. The record is from Ensembl.